This 254-nucleotide ribosomal RNA is filed under the name uncultured bacterium. RNAcentral's name for it is "partial 16S ribosomal RNA". It matches the Rfam family "Bacterial small subunit ribosomal RNA", at positions 524 to 776 of the family's 1533-position model. The record is from RNAcentral.
UACGGGGGGAGCAAGCGUUGUUCGGAUUUACUGGGCGUAAAGGGCGCGUAGGCGGCCACCGCAAGUCAAUUGUGAAAUCUCCGGGCUUAACUCGGAAAGGUCAACUGAUACUGCGGGGCUAGAGUGCGGAAGGGGCAACUGGAAUUCUCGGUGUAGCGGUGAAAUGCGUAGAUAUCCGGAGGAACACCGGUGGCGAAGGCAGCUUCCUGGACCGACACUGACGCUGAGGCGCGAAAGCUAGGGGAGCAAACGGG